RNAcentral lists this unclassified non-coding RNA (234 nucleotides) under Hevea brasiliensis (rubber tree). Lineage: Eukaryota; Viridiplantae; Streptophyta; Magnoliopsida; Malpighiales; Euphorbiaceae. The record is from RNAcentral.
CUUUCUACUAAAUGCAAAGAUUAGAAGAGUAUAUAUGAAAGGAUUAUGGUGAUAAAGGAUCUAAGGCAUAAAUGAAAUUCACAAGCAAUUUAAUAAAAGUCAAGAGAUAACAACUAUUAUGGCAAGAUACGGAAUUAUGGACUAAUAUUUCCUAGCCAUGGGACAAGGAAUCUGCUACUAUAAAAAUUUUCUUGGUAAAGCUAGCAAAAGUUAACCAACCCCAACUAGUUUGGG